Lacerta agilis (Sand lizard) is the source of this 77-nucleotide non-coding RNA. The record is from the annotation of a RefSeq genome assembly. NCBI's taxonomy places the organism in Eukaryota, Metazoa, Chordata, Lepidosauria, Squamata, Lacertidae.
GGGGAAGGGCCAUAGCUCAGUGGUAGAGCAUCUGCCUUGCAAGCAGGAGGUCCCGGGUUCAAUCCCCGGCAUCUCCA